CCCUUAGAUGUUCUGGGCCGCACGCGUGCUACACUGAGUGGAUCAGCGGGUCAGGUUGCGCGAAAGUGUUUCCUAAUCUUGAAAUCCGCUCGUGAUGGGGAUUGACGGUUGCAAUUUUCUGUCAUGAACGAGGAAUACCUUGUAAGCGCGGGUCAUCAUCCCGCGCUGAAUACGUCCCUGCCCUUUGUACACACCGCCCGCCGCUCCUACCGAUUGAGUGGUCCGGUGAGGCUUUGGGAUCUGGAUGGAAAGAGCGUUUCGCUGUUUCUGCCCGGAAAACUCAGUCGAACCUUAUCAUUUAGAGGAAGGAGAAGUCGUAACA
Molecule: ribosomal RNA, 322 nt
Filed under: uncultured eukaryote
Lineage: Eukaryota
Description: partial 18S ribosomal RNA
Rfam family: Eukaryotic small subunit ribosomal RNA
Source: RNAcentral